AGCUCCAAUAGCGUAUAUUAAAGUUGUUGUGGUUAAAAAGCUCGUAGUUGGAUUUCGGCGGGUAGUGGUUGGUUUGAAUUGAUUCAACACUGACUUUUUUACCCGUGUGUUUUGCCAGAAUCUUACGGGUGAUCUUUACCGAUUGUCCGUUGGAACUGGCAGGUUUACUUUGAAAAAAUUAGAGUGCUCAAAGCAAGCUUACUGCUUGAAUAGUUGCGCAUGGAAUAAUAGAAUAGGAAGUCGUUUCUAUUUUGUUGGUUUUCGGAAAUCGACUUAAUGAUUAAUAGGGAUAGUCGGGGGCAUUCGUAUUCAAACGACAGAGGUGAAAUUCUUGGACCGUUUGAAGACGAACUAAGGCGAAAGCAUUUGCCAAGAAUGUUUUCAUUA
RNAcentral lists this ribosomal RNA (387 nucleotides) under Centropages sp. RNAcentral describes it as "partial small subunit ribosomal RNA". It matches the Rfam family "Eukaryotic small subunit ribosomal RNA", at positions 587 to 975 of the family's 1831-position model. The record is from RNAcentral. Lineage: Eukaryota; Metazoa; Arthropoda; Copepoda; Calanoida; Centropagidae.